UGGGGAAUAUUGGACAAUGGGCGAAAGCCUGAUCCAGCCAUGCCGCGUGUGUGAAGAAGGUCUUCGGAUUGUAAAGCACUUUAAGUUGGGAGGAAGGGCAGUAAGCGAAUACCUUGCUGUUUUGACGUUACCGACAGAAUAGGCACCGGCUAACUCUGUGCCAGCAGCCGCGGUAAUACAGAGGGUGCAAGCGUUAAUCGGAAUUACUGGGCGUAAAGCGCGCGUAGGUGGUUCGUUAAGUUGAAUGUGAAAGCCCCGGGCUCAACCUGGGAACUGCAGCCAAAACUGGCGAGCUAGAGUAGGGCAGAGGGUGGUGGAAUUACCUGUGUAGCGGUGAAAUGCGUAGAUAUAGGAAGGAACAACAGUGGCGAAGGCGACCACCUGGGCUCAUACUGACACUGAGGUGCGAAAGCGUGGGGAGCAAACAGG
RNAcentral lists this ribosomal RNA (429 nucleotides) under Pseudomonadota bacterium. Its description in RNAcentral is "Proteobacteria bacterium partial 16S ribosomal RNA". It matches the Rfam family "Bacterial small subunit ribosomal RNA", at positions 355 to 776 of the family's 1533-position model. Lineage: Bacteria; Pseudomonadati; Pseudomonadota. The record is from RNAcentral.